This 869-nucleotide long non-coding RNA is filed under the name Mus pahari (shrew mouse). RNAcentral describes it as "lncRNA (MGP_PahariEiJ_G0033042.1)". The record is from RNAcentral. Lineage: Eukaryota; Metazoa; Chordata; Mammalia; Rodentia; Muridae.
UGGAGUUAUGCCAGUGGGCUUGCCUACUGUGUGACUCAGUGUUUCUCUCUUGCCUCUUUCACUGUGCUUUUUUUCUUCUGUGUAUUUUAGUGUUGUCAACACACCAGGAAAGAGGCCCUCUCCUGAGGAAUUUCUUUCAUGAGAUUGGCCUGUGGGCAGGUCUUUGAGGCAUAUUCUUAGUUGCUAAUUGAUGUAGAAGGGCACUGUGGGUAGCGCUAUCCCUAGGCUGGUGGACCUGGGCUAUAUAAGAAAGGUAGCUGGGCAAACCAGGGAAGGGAGCCAGUGUGCCUCUGAGGUUCUGGUUUCGUUUCCUACUUCGGCUUCCUUGAUAAAUGACUAUGACCUUUAAGCCAAAAUGAGCAAUUUUUUGCCCAAGUUGUUUUUGGUCAGUGUUUUAUCACAGCAUCAGAAAGCAAACUAGAAAAAGGGUUUUAGUUAAAUUCUAACAAAAGAAAGUUCUUUUCUGGUCUUAUCUUUGUAUUAUCUCCUGUAUCUGGGUUGAUAACUCUUUUCCUAACUUUGGAAAUUUAUCUGUUAUGAUUCUUUUGAAAAUAUUUUCUAGCCAGGCUGGCCUCGGACUCAGAGAUCUGCCUACCUCUGCCUUCCAAGUGCUGGAAUUAAAGGCGUGCACCACUAUGCCCCAUUUAUGUUUUGUUAUUUGCAUUGAAGUAACUUGUCAGGAGACAGAACUGACAGAAACCACAAUAGCAGUUGUGCCCAAUGCUGUCAUGGCACAAGCUCAGAAGGGUCCCUGUUUGCCUUACUUGUAUGGAGUUGUGUUGCAGAUGGCUUUAAUCUGUGUGCUUUUCUUUUUAAUCUCUUGUAUCUUUUGUGUUCCUAUUCUUUCUCCCCUUCUGACGAAUAAUACU